CUAAGCCUACGGGAGGCAGCAGUGGGGAAUAUUGCACAAUGGGGGAAACCCUGAUGCAGCGACGCCGCGUGGGUAAAGAAGUAUUUCGGUAUGUAAAGCUCUAUCAGCAGGGAAGAAAAUGACGGUACCUGACUAAGAAGCCCCGGCUAAAUACGUGCUAGCAGCCGCGGUAAUACGUAGGGGGCAAGCGUUAUCCGGAUUUACUGGGUGUAAAGGGAGCGUAGACGGCAGCGCAAGUCUGGAGUGAAAUGCCGGGGCUCAACCCCGGAACUGCUUUGGAAACUGUGCAGCUAGAGUGCGGGAGG
RNAcentral lists this ribosomal RNA (305 nucleotides) under uncultured bacterium. RNAcentral describes it as "bacterial SSU rRNA". It matches the Rfam family "Bacterial small subunit ribosomal RNA", at positions 333 to 655 of the family's 1533-position model. The record is from RNAcentral.